Molecule: ribosomal RNA, 376 nt
Filed under: uncultured bacterium
Lineage: Bacteria
Description: bacterial SSU rRNA
Rfam family: Bacterial small subunit ribosomal RNA
Source: RNAcentral
UACGUAGGGUGCGAGCGUUAAUCGGAAUUACUGGGCGUAAAGCGUGCGCAGGCGGUUUUGAAAGUCAGAUGUGAAAUCCCCGAGCUCAACUUGGGAACUGCGUUUGAAACUCCAAAGCUAGAGUAUGGGAGAGGGGGGUAGAAUUCCACGUGUAGCAGUGAAAUGCGUAGAGAUGUGGAGGAAUACCAAUGGCGAAGGCAGCCCCCUGGCCUAAUACUGACGCUCAUGCACGAAAGCGUGGGGAGCAAACAGGAUUAGAUACCCUGGUAGUCCACGCCCUAAACGAUGUCUACUAGUUGUUGGUGGAGUAAAAUCCAUUAGUAACGCAGCUAACGCGUGAAGUAGACCGCCUGGGGAGUACGGUCGCAAGAUUAAA